ACGCUGGCGGCAGGCUUAACACAUGCAAGUCGAACGGUAGCAGGAGAAAGCUUGCUUUCUUGCUGACGAGUGGCGGACGGGUGAGUAAUGCUUGGGAAUCUGGCUUAUGGAGGGGGAUAACUACGGGAAACUGUAGCUAAUACCGCGUAGUGUCGAGAGACGAAAGUGCGGGACCGCAAGGCCGCAUGCCAUGAGAUGAGCCCAAGUGGGAUUAGGUAGUUGGUGGGGUAAAGGCCUACCAAGCCUGCGAUCUCUAGCUGGUCUGAGAGGAUGGCCAGCCACACUGGAACUGAGACACGGUCCAGACUCCUACGGGAGGCAGCAGUGGGGAAUAUUGCGCAAUGGGGGGAACCCUGACGCAGCCAUGCCGCGUGAAUGAAGAAGGCCUUCGGGUUGUAAAGUUCUUUCGGUAUUGAGGAAGGUUGAUGUGUUAAUAGUACAUCAAAUUGACGUUAAAUACAGAAGAAGCACCGGCUAACUCCGUGCCAGCAGCCGCGGUAAUACGGAGGGUGCGAGCGUUAAUCGGAAUAACUGGGCGUAAAGGGCACGCAGGCGGUUAUUUAAGUGAGGUGUGAAAGCCCCGGGCUUAACCUGGGAAUUGCAUUUCAGACUGGGUAACUAGAGUACUUUAGGGAGGGGUAGAAUUCCACGUGUAGCGGUGAAAUGCGUAGAGAUGUGGAGGAAUACCGAAGGCGAAGGCAGCCCCUUGGGAAUGUACUGACGCUCAUGUGCGAAAGCGUGGGGAGCAAACAGGAUUAGAUACCCUGGUAGUCCACGCUGUAAACGCUGUCGAUUUGGGGAUUGGGCUUAGAGCUUGGUGCCCGUAGCUAACGUGAUAAAUCGACCGCCUGGGGAGUACGGCCGCAAGGUUAAAACUCAAAUGAAUUGACGGGGGCCCGCACAAGC
This 906-nucleotide ribosomal RNA is filed under the name uncultured bacterium. RNAcentral's name for it is "bacterial SSU rRNA". It matches the Rfam family "Bacterial small subunit ribosomal RNA", at positions 33 to 930 of the family's 1533-position model. The record is from RNAcentral.